RNAcentral lists this ribosomal RNA (119 nucleotides) under Bacteroides gallinaceum. RNAcentral's name for it is "partial 23S ribosomal RNA". It matches the Rfam family "Bacterial large subunit ribosomal RNA", at positions 1 to 121 of the family's 2925-position model. Lineage: Bacteria; Pseudomonadati; Bacteroidota; Bacteroidia; Bacteroidales; Bacteroidaceae. The record is from RNAcentral.
GAAAGUAGAGAAGGGCGCAUGGUGGAUGCCUAGGCUCCCGGAGGCGAUGAAGGACGUGACAAGCUGCGAAAAUCCGCGGGGAGGCGCAAGUGGCCUUUGAUCCGCGGGUGUCCGAAUGG